Long non-coding RNA from Mauremys mutica (yellowpond turtle), 1012 nucleotides. RefSeq lists it as uncharacterized. The record is from RefSeq and is a predicted model, not a curated record. NCBI's taxonomy places the organism in Eukaryota, Metazoa, Chordata, Testudines, Geoemydidae. The transcript has 3 exons.
CUCGCGUUUCUCUCGUGACGGUCGAAAUUAGCAAGAGGUAGAGAAUAGAUCACAUAUACUGCACUGUACCAGUCUCCUAUGGAGAGCAGUAAUGCUGGACACUUGAUGGUUGUAGAUCUUUCUCUGGUUUGUUGAGUCACCACAGCUGACUUCUUAAAACAGUAACUCAAGAUAUCCUUGGUACAAUCGCUGCUACCAGUGCAGAAUGCAUCGCCUGUUUUACUGAGACGUCCGAACGUCCAUUAGGAAAACACAAAUAUUCAUGUCAAGCCUGCUUGCCAGAAGUAUGGUGCCAUUACUCUAAUGAAUUGAUCGUGUUUGUAGAUGGGCCUCGAGGAUAUCGUUUCUGAGGCAAAUAGUUUGUUUCUCAUCUGUUCCAUACCGUUGAACCCAAUACCAAGAAAUACGAUGAAAUCAAAUGUUUGAAUGACAGGGUACACACUUCCUAGGCAUCGCUCUCCAGUUUCUCAGUUGAAAUGUUAGACCUUCCUGCCAUCUUACUUAAAGAGAAUUUAAGAUCUAAUGUCGAUUCAUUUGAUGUAAUAUGUUUGAAUAUUUCUUUAAAAAUAAAACAAAAGCAUUUUACUGUGGGGAAGAACUAUGAGGAGUCCUAUUUGUUAUUAUGCGCGGUGCGAUGUUCUAUGUUUCCAAAUGUUUACAAAAGUGAAAAUCAGGCUCUUUUAUUUACAUACAUUAGUGAACAAGGAUUUUGGACUCCUAAAGCAAACCCUAAUAUGUUAAUUUUCUUUAAAAACAUUGUUUGUAUUCUUAUUACGAAAAUACAAUGUAGUAUUUUCUCAUAAAAGUUGAUGGCUUUUUGAUGCAUGGGACAUACGGUCAAAUUAAAGUAGCUGGAUUCUAUAGUAAAUGAUUUUUAAUCUUCUGCGUUUUUAUGAAAAUAAAAGGCAGCACUUUGUCAUUUUAGCAAUGUAUGUAGCCAAUAAAUCUAAUUUCAACAUUGAUUUUUGUAGGAAUUAAGCGAUCUCUGCAUUAUCUGUUGUGAUUUGUUUUU